UUAAACCCAAAGAAUUUGGCGGUACCUUAUUCUAUUUAGAGGAACCUGUCCCGUGAUUGAUAGUUCACGAUUAAUUUUACUUGAUCUAUUUGUUUGUAUAUCUCCGUUAUCAGAAAAUCUUUUUAGAGUUUUAAUUUUCAAGAUUUAUUAUUAUAAAAUAUUUCAGGUCAAGGUGCAGCUUAUGGUUAAGAGGAGGUGGGUUACAAUAAAUUUUUGUUUAAUACGGAUUAUUUUUUGAAAAAUUUAUAUUAAGGUGGAUUUAAUGGUAAAUUAAUUAAUUUAAUUUAAUUGAUAUUAGCUCUGAGGUGUGUACACAUC
Molecule: ribosomal RNA, 318 nt
Filed under: Devylderia capensis
Lineage: Eukaryota; Metazoa; Arthropoda; Insecta; Orthoptera; Lentulidae
Description: partial 12S ribosomal RNA
Source: RNAcentral